This 125-nucleotide ribosomal RNA is filed under the name Haloarcula sp. Atlit-7R. RNAcentral's name for it is "partial 16S ribosomal RNA". It matches the Rfam family "Archaeal small subunit ribosomal RNA", at positions 1 to 127 of the family's 1478-position model. The record is from RNAcentral. RNAcentral also lists the same sequence under 2 other names. Lineage: Archaea; Methanobacteriati; Methanobacteriota; Halobacteria; Halobacteriales; Haloarculaceae.
AUUCCGGUUGAUCCUGCCGGAGGCCAUUGCUAUCGGAGUCCGAUUUAGCCAUGCUAGUCGCACGAGUUCAGACUCGUGGCAUAUAGCUCAGUAACACGUGGCCAAACUACCCUACAGACCGCGAU